This 515-nucleotide long non-coding RNA is filed under the name Homo sapiens (human). RNAcentral describes it as "non-protein coding PTCSC3:4". Lineage: Eukaryota; Metazoa; Chordata; Mammalia; Primates; Hominidae. The record is from RNAcentral.
GAAAGAGGAAAAAAGUGAUCUGGGACCUGUUGUUUUUCUUGCAUCCCAUUUCUACUCUGCCUGUGAGUGAAGACUGUUGUGGAAAAGUCAACUGGAGAGACCAGGUCAAAGGCCAAGCAGAAGAGGAAUUAGGCUUAAGACUGCACUGAGAGGGAACACUAGACCAUGGUGGUAAAUGGAGUCUCGACACGUUGCCCAAGCUGUUCUCAAACUCCAGGGCUUGAACAAUCUUCCCACCUUGGCCUCCCAAGGCACUGGAAUUACAGAGACAGUGCUCUGCAGGGAGUCUACCACUGUGAUGGUUAAUACUGAGUGUCAACUUGAUUGGAUUGAAGGAUGCAAAGUAUUGUUCCUGGGUGUGUCUGUGAGGGUGUUGCCAAAGGAGAUUAACAUUUGAGUCAGUGGGCUGGGAAAGGUAGACCCAGCCGUAAUCUAGGUGGGCACCAUCUAAUCAGCUGCCAGCACAGCUAGAAGAUAAAGUAGGCAGAAAAACAUGAAAACAUUAGACUGGCCUA